GGCCAAAUAGAUCAGCGGUUAGAACGUCUGACUACAAAUUCCCAUCUUAGAAGUGUUCUGGGUUCAAAUCCUUGCCAGUCCA
Lactifluus volemus is the source of this 82-nucleotide non-coding RNA. The record is from the annotation of a GenBank genome assembly. NCBI's taxonomy places the organism in Eukaryota, Fungi, Basidiomycota, Agaricomycetes, Russulales, Russulaceae.